AUAGCGUAUAUUAAAGUUGUUGCCGUUAAAAAGCUCGUAGUCGAACUUCGGCCUCUGCCGCCCGGUCCGCCUAUUUGGGUGUGUACUGGAGCGGUGGAGGCUUACCUCGUGGUGAGCGGCGAUGUCCUUUACUGGGCGUCGUCGGGAACCAUGACUUUUACUUUGAAAAAAUUAGAGUGUUCAAAGCAGGCUUACGCCCGAAUACAUUAGCAUGGAAUAAUAAAAUAGGACGUGCGGUCCUAUUUUGUUGGUUUCUAGGAUCGCCGUAAUGAUUAAUAGGGAUAGUUGGGGGCAUUCGUAUUCAAUUGCUAGAGGUGAAAUUCUUGGAUUUAUUGAAGACGAACUACUG
This 349-nucleotide ribosomal RNA is filed under the name uncultured eukaryote. Its description in RNAcentral is "SSU rRNA". It matches the Rfam family "Eukaryotic small subunit ribosomal RNA", at positions 594 to 945 of the family's 1831-position model. The record is from RNAcentral.